CCGGAAGUACCCAUUGCGCCUGCGCACCAAGCGUAGUUCUCUUCUCAGCUUCAUAAAGCUGUUCGUCCACCGCCAGAAGGACACAGUUCAGCCAAAAUGAUCGGUAAAAUCGUCGGACAGAAGUAUGUGGCCAUCGCGAAGGCGUGGAUCCCUACUAUGACUAUUUGGGGCGCAACCGCAGGUGUAGCCCUGAUCCACUUCACAGACUGGCGACUGGUUUUGGAUUACGUCCCCUA
Molecule: long non-coding RNA, 236 nt
Organism: Mugil cephalus (flathead mullet)
Lineage: Eukaryota; Metazoa; Chordata; Actinopteri; Mugiliformes; Mugilidae
Exons: 2
Source: RefSeq, a predicted model, not a curated record